This 5016-nucleotide long non-coding RNA is filed under the name Brassica napus (rape). RNAcentral's name for it is "long non-coding RNA (BNAP_LNC011671)". The record is from RNAcentral. Lineage: Eukaryota; Viridiplantae; Streptophyta; Magnoliopsida; Brassicales; Brassicaceae.
GGAUAGUUGUUUUAUUAAAUUCCCAAUACAUAAUUAAGCAAACAUCCUUAUUUAAGACGAGAGCAAACACACACACACAUACGAGGAGGGGUCCUCUAUUCUUCGGUCAAGAGAUGUUCGUCGAUCCCUUGAGACAUUUCUGUAAGGAGCUGGAUAAGAGUCUCAGGGUGAGCCACCUCCUCACUAAUUUUCUCUCCGACGGAAUUCCGACGACUUUACUGUUAAUCGGAAUGUCGUCGGAAAUUCGUCGGAAUAUACCGACGAACUUCCGACGACUACAACAGUUACAUUUUUUAUCGGAAUGUCGUCGAAAAGUCGUCGGAAAAUUCCGACGACUUCAUUUUUUUGGAUUUGGUCGGAAAUUGGUCAGUAAUCCGUCACAAAUGUCCGACGACAUUGAUGUCCGUCGGAACUUCCGUCGGAAUUCGGCGUGUUUUCUUGUAUUGUAACAAUCUUUUGUUUAAGUAGAUUUUUUAAGAAUUCUUCCCUUUUAAUAGUAUUGAUCAAAGUAGAAACCCAACCCCUUCAAACUUUUAUUGAUGUAACUUUCGCACGUACACACAUGGCAUAAAGAGAUGAAAUCAUUGUUAUAAACAAAUCAAUACAUAUUAACUUACAGCUUUAUGUUUUCAGAAGAUUAGACUCAAUAUCUCUAGUGAGAUAGACCGCAAAAUCCAUAUACUUGUUAGGAGCUGGAGAAUCUGAGUUAAGCUUCUCGUAUUCCCAGCUCCAUCUCGCUAUACUUCUUCCAUGGAGCUUCGGUAUAAUCUGAAGGUUGCAUUUGAAACUACUGUAGUUUUCCAUUACAUCUCCAUCGAACACAAACACAGUCAUUGAUUUGUUCUCCUCGUCUAUUUCAACUCUCUCCUUCAUCUUCUCCACUUUUCCAUCUGCAAACGAAACCCAUAUCAGAUUAGAGUGAUACAGAGAGUUAUAUAUGGGAAUUGUUGUAAUAAGAGGAGAGUUAUUUUAUUUUAUUUUACCGAUAGACAAAGUCCAGUUCUUGGUGUAAUCACCGACUUGCUCCUCCACGCUAAGUAUUUUCUCUGGAGAUAGUUUUGGUACGCUGCGGGAAGUAGCCUUAAUAGCUUGGAAAAUCUUGUCAGCUGAUACUUUGAUUUCCACUUCUAUCAUGGAUUUCGCCAACUGAGCCAUCGCUUUUUAUGUUAGUUGAUCUUCGAUGUUAGUCUAACUCUGCUUAUAUAAUAAGUGCAGUCUUUUGGAGGAAGAAUCAAUAUGGGAAUAUGGUACCAUGCCUAGUAUUUACGCUAGUUUAUAUUUAAUGGUUUUUUUGUUGUAUUCACAUACAAGACUCUCAUGUGGAGAAUUGAUCCACCAGGAAUCUCCACUCAAUAUUAGACCUUCUCAAUGGAUAAUUAUAUAUCUCACAAGUGUGAUGGAGCUUGCUUGUUGCUUAUAUUACUCUACAAGCCUACAACCGAAGAGGUCUCACCAUUAUUAACUUAUAAAACGUUCAACAUUCGAUCGAGUAACUUUCUCACCAUAGACAAUUGUAAAUUUGUAAUGGCAUUGAGCAGAAUGAUGCUCCUACAAAGUUUGGGCCUCUUAUAAAGUCUAGGCCUGUGUUGGAAUUUUAUUUUAUAGUAACUGGUAAGAAUGCACCCAAAAGCCCAUAUAAUUUGUCAUAUAUUCUUGUUUCUUUUUAAUAUUUUUAUGAUUAUAAUACCCUUAUCUCUAUCUCUCUCCCUUUUUCCUUUUUAUGUGUUCAAAUUUCUUUAUCUCUCGUAUAGAUUCUUCAAAUCAUCUUCUAAUUCAACACAAAUCUUUAUUUUUUUAUUCUGAUUCUUUUAACAUCCAUAAUGCUAAUCUUAUUAUCUCACCCCAAUUCCAAUGUUUCUAAUUUCGACCCAUAAUCAACUUUUAGAUAAUAUAUACGUUAGUAGGUAUUUUAUUACUUACAUGCUAUUAUUUAGAUUUUAAUGGAUUAUUAAUCGAUACAUGAAGUGUUAGCUGUAACAAAUAGUUUUGGGGCUAUUUGAUAGAUAACUAAUUAAUUGUUAAUAGUUUCAUUGACUGAUAUAUGAUUUGUUAGUCGAUACAUUUGUUUGAUACAUAGAUUGUUAGAUGAUACUGAAAUUAUUAGCUGAUAUGUUAGUUGAUAUGUAGAUUGUUACCUACUAUGUAAAUAUUUAACUGAUAAAUCUAGAGUUACUUGUUUUCGAUAAAGCAUGAGGGUAUUUUUCAUCCGCACAGUGUCAAAAAGUGACUUUUUUGGGUUAUCCAUAAUUAUGGGCAUUCAUCUAAUUUAGACCUUAAUUGGGUAUAUUCCAUACAUUCACUCUUUAUUUUAUAACGAACUUGAUGUUCCCAAAAAAUUAAUAGAUGUUUCGUAUAAUUUGAUCGUCUAGACUCCAGCAUGCAAUUUUAACGUCUAGCGUUUUCCUAACACUCAUUUUGCGACAUUUUUCUGAAUGAAGAAAAAGUAGACCCGCACAAAUUGAUAGCACCUAAAAUGACAGAACAAAUCAGUUGCGAUCUAGAGGGCAACAAGGACGUAUGGUUGUCUACCAAAUAAAUGAUGGUUUUUCCUCUCACUUGUAAACAGAUCAUCAUGAUUCAUGUCUUUUUUUUAUAAAGAAAACAAAUCAUCAUGUCUCCUCAAAAUAUAUCAAAAACUAGUUUCAGUUGUUUUUUUUGUAUUUCAAAACAGAUCUUUUAAUGUUUAAUGUGUACUAAUUAGAAUUUAGAUUGUAGAGGUGGAAUUUAAGGGUUAACUUUACGGAUCUAGAAUGUAAAAUCAGGGGGUAAUAAUAUUUCUUUUACUUUGAAAUAACAAUUUUGCAAAUAAUUUUAAAAUAUUUAUUUAUAUGAAAUAUAUUAUAUGUUAAAGAGAGUUUAGAUUUUUAAAAUUUUUUGUGAAAGAUUUUUUUUUAUUUUUGCUAUUCUACAUUUUUUUCAAUAUGUGUUACUUACUUAUUUCCAGAUAUUACAUAAAAAGACAAUUUUCUCAAAUAGCAAAAAAUAGUUUUUAACACAACUGUUGUAGUAUGCUAUUCUACAUUAUUUAUUUCAAAUACAUAAGAGAUUUUAAUGAAACAAACCCUCAGCUAUAGGCCCAUUUGUUUUUUAACCCUUAAGUAUUUUUAUAAUGAAAUAAUUUCUUAACUAAAAGCUAUUAGAAAAUUUGACUUUCCGUCAUUGGCAACGUUAAACCCAAAAACAAUUGUUUUAAUGCCAAUUAAAUGAAAAAACGAAGGUGCAAGGUAGAGUUCGAAAAUCCAGUAACUGUCAACAACAACAAGUCGGGCACAAUAUACGCUCAUCCAAGCGUGAAGCCGUGUCUAAACCACCUAAGAGACUUCGAGGAAGACCGAGCAAAAAACAUAAGAUUAUGGUAGAAGAAGACCAACACAAUCCUCCAUAGUUUCUUAGAAAAUGAUACAAAUGUUUCUUUUCUUAAGUUAUGCCUUUUGACGAUGUUCGUUUGUCUUUGGUUGAACUAUGUUACACUUUAUGAUGCUCUGUUUUUUUGUAUACAAUGCUCUGUUUUUUUGGUAUACAAUGCGAUGCUCUGUUUUAAUGAUAAAAUUAUGCUAGUUUGAUCUAUAUUGUUGGUAAAACAAAAGAUAAUGGUUUAAGGAGAUGUUUUUUAAAUGAGAAUAUUUAGUUUUAAAACUCGUUUUCAGCUUAUUCAAGUUCUAAAGUUUUAUUGAUCUUAUAAAAAAUUGAAAGUUUGUUCGUAGAAACUAAGGAAUGACAAUGAUAAUGCUUGUUCACGUUCAAGUCUUAAAUUUUAGAAUGAAAGAUUUGCUUUCUUAGGUUAGUUAUGAAGAUGAUUGUCGCAAUUCAAUCUGUUUUCUGAAAGUGUUUUUUUUUUUCUGAAGAAGACACCUUAUUGUUUCACUUUUAGAAUGUUGACAACAUGUUGUUUUGUUACAAUAAAACAACACUUUCUUAUUGUUGACGGAAGCUGUCUAGGGAUUAAACGUUCUUAAAAGUAAAGGGUUAAUUAUACUAACGGACUUCAGCUCAGAGGUUGUCUUGUUAAUAAAAUAGCUGAGAGUUAAAAAAUGGAUGGCCGGAUAGUUGUUUUAUUAAAUUCCCAAUACAUAAUUAAGCAAACAUCCUUAUUUAAGACGAGAGCAAACACACACACACAUACGAGGAGGGGUCCUCUAUUCUUCGGUCAAGAGAUGUUCGUCGAUCCCUUGAGACAUUUCUGUAAGGAGCUGGAUAAGAGUCUCAGGGUGAGCCACCUCCUCACUAAUUUUCUCAUACUCAAUGUGCCAGUGCACAAUACUUCCGGACCCUUCAUGCUUAGGGGUCGCCUGGAUCGUCAACACAAAGUUCUUGUACUCUUUCAUGAGAUCACCUUCUAUAACCCUCAUCUUGAACAGGUUCUUCUCCUGAUCCACCGCUUCUAUUAUGUCCUUCGCCACCUUUGGCUCUCCAUCUGCACCAAUUAGUUCAAAUUUUAUUUAUAUACACCGAUUUGAUUUUGAGAAUCAACAUGAAUGUAGUUCAAAGAAAAUAUCAUAAGAAUGUAUAUUGUAUCCAAUGAUGGUAUUACAGUGGUCAUCCCCUCGUGGAUAUAUAUGCCAAGAUUAAUUUCUGCUCUGAAAAUUAAUUUUCUUUUUCUAUUUUUGGGCAAUAUUUUUUUUUUAAAUUAAUUUUCUUGUUUGGAAUUCUCUUGUUAUUGAAAAAUGUAAUCAGUGUUAGUAUAGUUUAGUGACCGUCUAUAAUAUCAGUUUCGUGAUCGUUGCAUAUCUCAUAAAAAUGAGUUUUAAUUAAUUUCAGUUUUGAAUCAACCGAAUGGUUUUAUCAAAUAGUGCAUAAAUUUGACUUGCCAUGAACGUAGUUCCAGACGAUGAUUGAGCCGACUUUGCCCCAUUCGCCUUCGUGCAGAUCACAUCCCUUAAUGUGGCCCGGAGUUGCUUUGGGGAUAUGGUGUGGUCUCUCGGCGAACAUGUGAUGGAACUUUUCAGCCGAAGCUUUGAUCUCCACUUCUAUCUCAAGCUUCCCCAGCAAACAAGACGGUUCUGCCAUGUUUUUUUC